This 253-nucleotide ribosomal RNA is filed under the name uncultured bacterium. RNAcentral describes it as "partial 16S ribosomal RNA". It matches the Rfam family "Bacterial small subunit ribosomal RNA", at positions 524 to 776 of the family's 1533-position model. The record is from RNAcentral.
UACGUAGGGGGCUAGCGUUGUCCGGAAUCAUUGGGCGUAAAGCGCGUGUAGGCGGUCCGGUAAGUCCGCUGUGAAAGUCGGGGGCUCAACCCUCGAAUGCCGGUGGAUACUGUCGGGCUAGAGUGCGGAAGAGGCGAGUGGAAUUCCUGGUGUAGCGGUGAAAUGCGCAGAUAUCAGGAGGAACACCAAUUGCGAAGGCAGCUUACUACACAGUGAUUGACACUGAGGCACGAAAGCGUGGGGAUCAAACAGG